GUGCGCCCGGCCGGCGUGGCUGGCUGUUUGAGGACUGCGCGCGGAGCUCCGUGGCGGGUGUCUGAAGUCGUGAGUUUACUGCUUGUAAGGAACAUAGCGAUCACUGGGAACCUGGAAGUAGAGACUCCUUUCUGCCAUCCAUCCGUCCCUCGGGCUGCUGCGAAUCCCCCCGCCGGCCUCCAGGACCCCGGGCUGACUGAACGCCCGCACCGGUCCCGCCGCCCCAGGGCCCGCUACGCGCCCGGCAUAAUGGGAGAAAAAUCACGACGGAAAGGCCCAGCCCCUCGCCAUGCAGACGGGAAGCUUGGCCGCACGUGUGAUCACCCUUACGCCCCUUGGAGUUUCACCCCCUCUUCGCGGGCUCCAACAGCCUGGGUCAGGCCUCCUUGUCCUGUGUGGGCCUCUCGGCUGCAAGAACACAGUCCCGAGCCCCGGCGAGCCCGCGCGCCUCCCACCCGCCGUGCACAGGCUGCACUUUACGCCCCAGCACUGCGCCUGCGGGACCAUCUGGAUCGCUUUUCCAUUCUGAUGACGUCCUGUACUUCGUGGCUGCAGGCUCCUCAAGCCCCAGGUCUGUGCAGAGACGAGCAAAGCAGCAGAAUAUCCGUGCCACAGCUUUCUGGAGCACCCAUUUUACUACCAGAUUUGGAAGGAACGAAGUUAAGUAAUUUCCAAGAAUCAUCUCCCCUGCCCCACAAACAUGAAAGAAAAGACAAGAGAAGCACCCCAGAAGAGGAGGGGAGAAGUGCCCCAGAAAAAAUCAUCCAGUCUCUGAAGCUUUGCCCAGGAGCCAGCUGAGGAGGUGUGUCAUGCAACUUGCCCCCCCAGCCCUCCCCUUCUAAGGAACCCCCACACCUGCUCUGUCUUCCUGCUACAGUCUCUGAGAAAAGCCCUUUCAUCUGUCAAGAACUACAAAAGUCAUUCUUUAAGCAGUGCUAAAUAAACAAUGAAACAGACACAAAGUUAAAGUUACCUGAUCCAAAAAGGAGUGAAGCCUAGACCCCAGCCCACUGACUCAGUCUCUAAGACCCCUCACUCAAAUCUUCAAUCAACAGUGGAGAUGGCUGUGAGCUCUUCUGAUUCCAGAUGACAAUACUCCUCCCUUUAAUUCCUUGAUAUGUUUAAUUAUCCUGUGAGCAGAACCAGAAGGGACACUCUCACAGCCUGUUCGCCACGGAAUCCAGGAGGCAGGUCCAUUUUGGUGGCUGUCUCCACAACAUGGCUUUUUCCCCUUGAAGACCAUCAGAAGAGCCUGUAUCUCCGCAUCUGCGGAAAUCGUCUUUGCCAUGUAAUGUGCCAUAACCAUGGGAGUGACAUCGCAUCACAUCCCAGGGCCACCGCUGAGGAGGAGGGUGAGGAUCUUGACCCUUAUCUUAGAAUUCUGCCCUGCCUGGCUUCCACUUGUCCUCUUCUAAAUCUAUCUUAACUCAUUCCUUUGGUGCCUGUUUUUACUGCCUUAAUUUUGGCAAUAAAGGGAGGAAUAAAAACA
RNAcentral lists this long non-coding RNA (1489 nucleotides) under Homo sapiens (human). RNAcentral's name for it is "long intergenic non-protein coding RNA 2693". Lineage: Eukaryota; Metazoa; Chordata; Mammalia; Primates; Hominidae. The record is from RNAcentral.